GGGGCGAAAUGCAAGGUCAGCUGGAAUUUGGUUUGCAGACCGACUGAGUUGGGAGGUUUGGGGAUCCUUGAUCUUACCAAAUUCGCGAGAGCUCUCAGAUUGAGAUGGUUGUGGUUUGAAUGGGCGGAGCCCUCCAAGAUGUGGGUGGGCAUGGCCAACCCUUGUGAGAUUCUGGACCGAGAUCUCUUCUAU
This 192-nucleotide ribosomal RNA is filed under the name Triticum aestivum (bread wheat). Its description in RNAcentral is "partial small subunit ribosomal RNA". The record is from RNAcentral. Lineage: Eukaryota; Viridiplantae; Streptophyta; Magnoliopsida; Poales; Poaceae.